AACGGAGCCUGCAAACAAAUCAACUACUGUGCUAUUGAAGACAAGUGCAAACCCGGAACAUGCGCUUUAACGCAAGGAUCGUAUUUGUGCAACUCCCCACCGUGAUACCGAUCCACAUUAUAACCUCCCAAAACUGCAGUCAAAUCAACGAGUGUGAACUCAUCCCACCUCCCUGCGGCCUCGGGUGCUGUCAAAUGUAUUGACACCCUCGGAUCGUAUCAGUGCCUCUGCGGACACAUUGGUAGCUUUCAAUCAGAUCUAUACAGUCACCCGGUAUGCAGGGAUUCACCGGACCGGCACAUUCGUUGAUCGCUGCGCCGCCGGUGCUGUUAGUCCAGCCAAAAGGACAUAAGCAGUUAUAACUUCCUGGAGUAUUGACGCAGUUUCCUGGGUUGCAUGGAUUGAAAGGUGGAACACAUUCAUUGACGUCUACGAAAACGAAUGCAAAUUUCACUACCUAGUACCUAAUCCUGAUGUUGAUGAAUGCGAACUGGCUCCAUGUCGCCAUGGUGUAUGCCAAUGUACCAAAGGAACACAUGUCGAUGUGAUGCUGGCUACGAGUUUGUUGGCGGAACAUGCGUCUAUAUCAAUGAGUGCACCUUGUGCACCCAACGCACAGUGCCAGGACACGGACGGUGGCUUUUAUUGUUUUUGUCCUCCUGGAUUCACUUCUGAAAAUCCUAAGGCAACGAUCUGCAAAGCUAUCUCUACGGUGGACGUCACUACUAUGCGCUUUAGCUUUUUUAUUGGUUUUGUAUGUGAUAGGCAAAAAAAUAUUUGUGAACCGUUAACUUGCUACCGCGAUGGCACUUGUCGGCAUACUACCAAAUCGGUAUCGAUGGACGAUCACUGGACGACUGCGAGUGCAUUAUUAAUUUUGCCAAGGAUAUAUGUGGCCAGGGCAGGAGUUUACUGAUUGAUACUACGGUACUUGCCCAAAAGGCUUCCAGAUGAUUCAGAACGGAACCCAGAUUGU
This is a long non-coding RNA of Paramacrobiotus metropolitanus, 976 nucleotides long. RefSeq lists it as uncharacterized. Lineage: Eukaryota; Metazoa; Tardigrada; Eutardigrada; Parachela; Macrobiotidae. The record is from RefSeq and is a predicted model, not a curated record. The transcript is spliced from 7 exons.